AGAGUUUGAUCAUGGCUCAGGAUUAACGCUAGCGGCAGGCCUAAUACAUGCAAGUUGAACGGGAUUUCGGGUAGCAAUAUCUGAAUGAGAGUAGCGCACGGGUGCGUAACACGUAUGCAACCUACCUGUAACUGGGGGAUAGCCUCCCGAAAGGGAGAUUAAUACCGCAUAAUAUUAUUGAGUGGCAUCACUUGAUAAUUAAACCUCAGGGGGUUAUAGAUGGGCAUGCGUCCGAUUAGCUAGUUGGUGAGGUAACGGCUCACCAAGGCGACGAUCGGUAGGGGGUCUGAGAGGAUGAUCCCCCACACUGGUACUGAGACACGGACCAGACUCCUACGGGAGGCAGCAGUAAGGAAUAUUGGACAAUGGGCGCAAGCCUGAUCCAGCCAUGCCGCGUGAAGGAAGAAGGCCCUAUGGGUCGUAAACUUCUUUUAAACGGGACGAAACCCCUCGACGUGUCGAGGGCUGACGGUACCGUAAGAAUAAGGGUCGGCUAACUUCGUGCCAGCAGCCGCGGUAAUACGAAGGACCCGAGCGUUAUCCGGAUUUAUUGGGUUUAAAGGGUGCGUAGGCGGACCUAUAAGUCAGUGGUGAAAGCCCAUCGCUCAACGAUGGAAUUGCCAUUGAUACUGUAGGUCUUGAGUAUAGUCGAGGUGGGCGGAAUGUGUCAUGUAGCGGUGAAAUGCUUAGAUAUGACACAGAACACCUAUUGCGAAGGCAGCUCGCUAAGCUAUAACUGACGCUGAGGCACGAAAGUGUGGGUAGCAAACAGGAUUAGAUACCCUGGUAGUCCACACCCU
Molecule: ribosomal RNA, 800 nt
Filed under: uncultured bacterium
Lineage: Bacteria
Description: bacterial SSU rRNA
Rfam family: Bacterial small subunit ribosomal RNA
Source: RNAcentral